Molecule: ribosomal RNA, 455 nt
Filed under: uncultured Desulfuromonadaceae bacterium
Lineage: Bacteria; Pseudomonadati; Thermodesulfobacteriota; Desulfuromonadia; Desulfuromonadales; Desulfuromonadaceae
Description: bacterial SSU rRNA
Rfam family: Bacterial small subunit ribosomal RNA
Source: RNAcentral
GCGUGAGUGAUGAAGGCUCUCGGGUCGUAAAGCUCUGUCAGAGGGGAAGAACCUCCUAUCGUAUAAUACACGAUAGGCCUGACGGUACCCUCAGAGGAAGCACCGGCUAACUCCGUGCCAGCAGCCGCGGUAAUACGGAGGGUGCAAACGUUGUUCGGAAUUAUUGGGCGUAAAGAGCAUGUAGGCGGUUGUUUAAGUCUGAUGUGAAAGCCCUGGGCUCAACCCAGGAAGUGCAUUGGAUACUGGACAACUUGAGUACGGGAGAGGAAAGUGGAAUUUCGAGUGUAGGGGUGAAAUCCGUAGAUAUUCGAAGGAACACCAGUGGCGAAGGCGGCUUUCUGGACCGAUACUGACGCUGAGAUGCGAAAGCGUGGGGAGCAAACAGGAUUAGAUACCCUGGUAGUCCACGCCGUAAACGAUGGGUACUAGGUGUCGCGGGUAUUGACCCCUGCGGU